AAAACAACAGUUAGUGACAUCACCAACAACCUUCACAAGGCAGGGGUGAAGGUAUCAUAAGCCACCAUUUGAAGAAGAUUUCAAGUGUAUAAAUGUAUAGGCCAUACAAUAAGAUGCAAACCUCUCAUCAGCAGUAAGAACCAGAAAGCCAGAUAUGAUUUUGCAAAGAAAUACAGAGAUGAGCCAUUAAAGUUCUGGAACCAAAAUUAACCUCUUCCAAAGUGAUGGAGAAAGAAAGGAUCUGCUCAUGAUCUAAAACGUGCAAGCACAUCAGUCAAGCAUGGUGGAGAUAGUGUCAUGGCUUCUCUUUGCAUGGCUGCUUCUGGAAUGGGCUCACUAAUCUUUAUUGAUGAUGGUAGCAGAAGAAUGAGUUGAGGAAUCUAAAACUCUGUCUUCCAAUUUACAGAGAAAUGCAUCCAACCUAAUUGGGAGGAACUUCAUCAUGCAGCAAGAACAUACUCAAAACACACUGCCAACACAACAAAGGACUUCAUCAGGGGGUAAAAGUGGAAGAUUUUAGACUGACCAAGUCAGUCACCAGACCUCAAACCAGUUGAGCAGCAUUUCACCUCCUGAAGAUGAGAUUGAAGAGAGAAACCCCUCUAAAACAAACAAAAUCUGCAGUGCAAGCCUGGAAAAGCAACACAAUGUGUGUGUGUGUGUGUGUGUGUGUGUGUGUGUGUGUGUGUGUGUGUGUGUGUGUGUGUGUGUGUGUGUGUGAGAGAGAGAGAGAGAGUGUAGCCAAUCUACCCACCAGCAUGUUUUGGGAAGUAGGAGGAAACUGGAGCACACAGUGGAAACCCACAUAGACAUGGGGAGAAAAUGAGAAGCUCCACACAUUGUAACCAGAGAUCAGGAUGAAACCUGGGAUGCUGGAGCUGUGAGGUGACCGUGAGAGUCUGAUGCUUGUGUUGUGUACUGAAGAACAAAGUGAUUCUGGCUUUAAGUUCCCACACAGGAAGUGACUGUAGCAAGGACGGAGUCAUUCUGUGUGCAUGUUGAGAAAAACAUCUGCCUACCCAAGUCAGUCUGAAGUCAUCAACAGGAUGGGGCUUGGCAAGUUUCCAAGCUGGUAAAAGCAGAGCCACAGAAUGAUGCAGAAGAUUACAUCAACAGGGUCAUCAACUCCAGUCCUAGAAGGCCAGCAUAAUUUGAUCAUUUUCCUGCUCUAACAUACCUACUAAGCCAGGUAAGAAGAACAAGAUCUUUGGCUAAAAUAAAAUAGUUCAAAAUAGUUUCUAUUGUCCUCAUGUGAGUGAAAAUACAGAAAAUACACAAAACCU
This is a long non-coding RNA of Ictalurus punctatus (channel catfish), 1283 nucleotides long. The record is from Ensembl. Lineage: Eukaryota; Metazoa; Chordata; Actinopteri; Siluriformes; Ictaluridae.